Molecule: transfer RNA, 91 nt
Filed under: Henriciella pelagia
Lineage: Bacteria; Pseudomonadati; Pseudomonadota; Alphaproteobacteria; Hyphomonadales; Hyphomonadaceae
Description: tRNA-Ala
Source: RNAcentral
GUUUUGCGGCGUGGGCGGGGCGCAGGCUGGCGAGCGCCUGGCCGGUUGAUGAAGAGAUCGCUGCGUCCGGUUUCGAAUCCCGGGCAAAGGC